AACACAUGCAAGUCGAGGGGCAGCAUGGUCUUUGCUUGCUAAGGCCGAUGGCGACCGGCGCACGGGUGAGUAACACGUAUCCAACCUGCCGUCUACUCUUGGACAGCCUUCUGAAAGGAAGAUUAAUACAAGAUGGCAUCAUGAGUCCGCAUGUUCACAUGAUUAAAGGUAUUCCGGUAGACGAUGGGGAUGCGUUCCAUUAGAUAGUAGGCGGGGUAACGGCCCACCUAGUCUUCGAUGGAUAGGGGUUCUGAGAGGAAGGUCCCCCACAUUGGAACUGAGACACGGUCCAAACUCCUACGGGAGGCAGCAGUGAGGAAUAUUGGUCAAUGGGCGAGAGCCUGAACCAGCCAAGUAGCGUGAAGGAUGACUGCCCUAUGGGUUGUAAACUUCUUUUAUAAAGGAAUAAAGUCGGGUAUGGAUACCCGUUUGCAUGUACUUUAUGAAUAAGGAUCGGCUAACUCCGUGCCAGCAGCCGCGGUAAUACGGAGGAUCCGAGCGUUAUCCGGAUUUAUUGGGUUUAAAGGGAGCGUAGAUGGAUGUUUAAGUCAGUUGUGAAAGUUUGCGGCUCAACCGUAAAAUUGCAGUUGAUACUGGAUAUCUUGAGUGCAGUUGAGGCAGGCGGAAUUCGUGGUGUAGCGGUGAAAUGCUUAGAUAUCACGAAGAACUCCGAUUGCGAAGGCAGCCUGCUAAGCUGCAACUGACAUUGAGGCUCGAAAGUGUGGGUAUCAAACAGGAUUAGAUACCCUGGUAGUCCACACGGUAAACGAUGAAUACUCGCUGUUUGCGAUAUACUGCAAGCGGCCAAGCGAAAGCGUUAAGUAUUCCACCUGGGGAGUACGCCGGCAACGGUGAAACUCAAAGGAAUUGACGGGGGCCCGCACAAGCGGAGGAACAUGUGGUUUAAUUCGAUGAUACGCGAGGAACCUUACCCGGGCUUAAAUUGCAGAUGAAUUACGGUGAAAGCCGUAAGCCGCAAGGCAUCUGUGAAGGUGCUGCAUGGUUGUCGUCAGCUCGUGCCGUGAGGUGUCGGCUUAAGUGCCAUAACGAGCGCAACCCUUGUUGUCAGUUACUAACAGGUUCCGCUGAGGACUCUGACAAGACUGCCAUCGUAAGAUGUGAGGAAGGUGGGGAUGACGUCAAAUCAGCACGGCCCUUACGUCCGGGGCUACACACGUGUUACAAUGGGGGGUACAGAGGGCCGCUACCACGCGAGUGGAUGCCAAUCCCCAAAACCUCUCUCAGUUCGGACUGGAGUCUGCAACCCGACUCCACGAAGCUGGAUUCGCUAGUAAUCGCGCAUCAGCCACGGCGCGGUGAAUACGUUCCCGGGCCUUGUACACACCGCCCGUCAAGCCAUGGGAGCCGGGGGUACCUGAAGUGCGUAACCGGGAGGAGCGCCCUAGGGUAAAACUGGUGACUGGG
Molecule: ribosomal RNA, 1425 nt
Filed under: uncultured bacterium
Lineage: Bacteria
Description: 16S ribosomal RNA
Rfam family: Bacterial small subunit ribosomal RNA
Source: RNAcentral